Peromyscus leucopus (white-footed mouse) is the source of this 640-nucleotide long non-coding RNA. RefSeq lists it as uncharacterized. The transcript is spliced from 2 exons. The record is from RefSeq and is a predicted model, not a curated record. Lineage: Eukaryota; Metazoa; Chordata; Mammalia; Rodentia; Cricetidae.
UUCUCCACGACUCAGUUUCUUCACCUAUAAAAUGGGGAUGAAAUUACCCACAGGCUUGUUCUUCGGCCUCAGAAAUAACCGUGCAUAUUCAAGGUCCUGGUGGUAGGUGCAACGGCUGUUGUCACCCGUAGCCAGUAGAGGGCACCAAACUAAACAAAACGAGACCCAGCAAGGGAACACAUUCCUAGUGGCUGCAAAGUUAUAAAUUAAAUUGUACUUUACACUGUGCUUGGGAGCCAUCAUCUAACAAAAGCAGACCGGGAGUAGUACAAACACACAUCAAGGAGGAAAACGUCUGCACGUGGCUUCUUAUCCUGGACAGAAUCAGGGGGCUAUUUGACCUGGGCAAUGACAAUCUCCGUCUGACCCCCUUCCCUUCUUGGAGACCAAGAUGACCUUUGGCUGAAGCAGUGCAGAAGCGGCAAUGUGCCAGGCUGAGUAAGCACAGCCCCCAGCAUGGUGGCACACUGGCCCGACUUUCACAGCCAGCGCCAAUGGAGAGAGGACCGUUUCAAGUGCCUCAGAACCUGCUUUGGACGGCUCCUACUUAUGGAAUUUCCUCCCCUCAAAGUAAUCCAGGCAUAACUUCUAAUUUCUAGGGUUUUUUUCCUGUUAUUGGAACAUUAUACAGUGGACUGUA